UUAUAUAUUUCAAUUAUUGACAACAGCAACUUCAUAAACAGAAGGACGAUAUCGAUAAAUAAGUACCUCAAAUCCUUUAUUUGCCGAGAACAGUACCAAUGUUGGCUUGAUAAAAGCAUUAAUGCGUCAUUGUCAUUGAUCAGCAUCAUCGAAGAAACUGCUGAAGAUCAACAACGUCACCAAAGAGAAUAUGGUCAAAUGUUGAAUAAAUCAAGAGAUUAAUUGUUUGACCUAUUAUAAAGAAUAUCGAUUCCACAUAAAAAUUAUGAGCAAUAUGAGAGAGUCUGAUUUGUUCUAAACCAUUAAAAAAUCUCGAAGAAUGAAUUUAAUGAGUGAUGGUUUUUUUGAACAUAUUAAAUAAUAAUGAAUUAAUAGAUGUGCCUAGUAAACUGUCGAUUAGAGACUGGAAUAAGGAUCAAGAUUUGCAAUAUAUAAAUAAAGAGCGAAUUGUCAUCACAUAUUAUCUAGAAAAAGAAGAAAAAUAGCCUUUACUGCAGUUUUUCAAAAUUACUUUUUUACAUACUUCAAUUAUUGGCAACAGCAACUUCAUAAACAGAAGGACGAUAUCGAUAAAUAAGUACCUCAAAUCCUUUAUUUGCCGAGAACAGUACCAUUAUUGGCUUGAUAAAAGGUUAAAUUUUUUAA
Molecule: long non-coding RNA, 645 nt
Organism: Camponotus floridanus (Florida carpenter ant)
Lineage: Eukaryota; Metazoa; Arthropoda; Insecta; Hymenoptera; Formicidae
Exons: 6
Source: RefSeq, a predicted model, not a curated record